Molecule: ribosomal RNA, 354 nt
Filed under: uncultured bacterium
Lineage: Bacteria
Description: partial 16S ribosomal RNA
Rfam family: Bacterial small subunit ribosomal RNA
Source: RNAcentral
CCUACGGGAGGCAGCAGUGAGGAAUAUUGGUCAAUGGGCGAGAGCCUGAACCAGCCAAGUCGCGUGAAGGAUGACGGAUCUAUGGUUUGUAAACUUCUUUUAUAUGGGGAUAAACUGAGGAACGCGUUUCUUUCUGUAUGUAUCAUAUGAAUAAGCAUCGGCUACCUCCGUGCCAGCAGCCGCGGUAAUACGGAGGAUUCGAGCGUUAUUCGGUUUUAUUGGGUUAAAGGGGUGCGUAGGUGGUGAAUUAAGUUAGCGGUGAAAGUCUGGGGUUAAACCAGAAAAUUCCCGUUGAAACUGGUUGAUUUGAAGUAAUUUCGGGUGGCCGGAAUGCGUGGUGUGGCGGUAAAAUGC